This 151-nucleotide ribosomal RNA is filed under the name uncultured bacterium. RNAcentral's name for it is "partial 16S ribosomal RNA". It matches the Rfam family "Bacterial small subunit ribosomal RNA", at positions 1382 to 1532 of the family's 1533-position model. The record is from RNAcentral.
UGUACACACCGCCCGUCACACCAUGGGAGUGAGUUGCUCCAGAAGCCGUUAGUCUAACCGCAAGGGGGACGACGACCACGGAGUGGUUCAUGACUGGGGUGAAGUCGUAACAAGGUAGCCGUAUCGGAAGGUGCGGCUGGAUCACCUCCUU